GUUUAAUUAGUUUAAUUUAUUAAAAUAAUAAAUUGUGGAUUUAUAGAUGAAUAAUUCAUUAAACA
This 65-nucleotide transfer RNA is filed under the name Dermacentor albipictus. Its description in RNAcentral is "tRNA-His". Lineage: Eukaryota; Metazoa; Arthropoda; Arachnida; Ixodida; Ixodidae. The record is from RNAcentral.